Molecule: long non-coding RNA, 618 nt
Filed under: Zonotrichia albicollis (white-throated sparrow)
Lineage: Eukaryota; Metazoa; Chordata; Aves; Passeriformes; Passerellidae
Description: lncRNA (ENSZALG00000007137.1)
Source: RNAcentral
CGCUGACGUCACCGGGGCGGUCGCCGGGAGCCCGCGCACCGGGACCCCCGGGAGGAACCACCGGGAAUUACCGGGGGCAGCUCCGGGAGGAGCCCCUGGGCACGGCGGGGCCCCGCGCGGCUCCAGGCACCGCCGCGAUGCGCAGCGGAGCAUCCCGGGAGAGGCGCGGGAAUGCCCCGGGCAGGGCAGCUGGAAUGGAGCUGGCUCCUAGAAAGGCUGAAUGCUUGGAGUCAGAAAAUUCCCUGCUGUCACAUCGUCCCUUGCCUUGGAGCUGGGCUCAGGCUUACAGUGAUUCCUGUUGCACACCCUUCCCAUCCCAGGUGUGCCAGUGGUGCUGAGUGAGGGAACCUGGAGCCCGAGUCAAGAAUUCUGUUUGGUUCCCACACAGAGAGCAAGGUGCCCUGAUGGAGCUGGCAAGGGACUGCAGGUAAGUUUGGUGGCAGAUGCUUAUCUGAAAGGAGGGAUUUCCACUCCCAUCCCUGGCUGUGAUGGGAUGGAGGUCCUGCUCCCUCUGCAGGGAGCUCCAGCUGCAUGGGUUUGUCCUCAGAGUAGGGGCAGGAAAACUCCUUUCUCCUGAGAAGUCUCCUGUGAGAUACCAAUGGAUGAAAUAUGAAAAGA